GUCACGAUAGCUCAAGUGGUAAAGUAGCGGCGUAUGAAGCCGAAGGUCGUGGGUUCGAAUCCCGCUCGUGACA
RNAcentral lists this transfer RNA (73 nucleotides) under Cimex lectularius (bed bug). RNAcentral describes it as "tRNA-His". It matches the Rfam family "tRNA". From Rfam's summary of the family: Transfer RNA (tRNA) molecules are approximately 80 nucleotides in length. Their secondary structure includes four short double-helical elements and three loops (D, anti-codon, and T loops). The record is from Rfam by way of RNAcentral. Lineage: Eukaryota; Metazoa; Arthropoda; Insecta; Hemiptera; Cimicidae.